AUGGGACAGAAAUUGAUUAAUCCCUACACCUCUACUUUAAAUGCUUUCAUCUUCUUCUCAUCAGGACUAAAAAGCAGAAGAUUAAACUAUAACCGGAAACUACAACCUUCAGCCUCCUCGCGGCUCCGCCUCCGGCUUCCCGGUUCACCGGCGGGGUUCCAUUCGUGUCCCGUUCAUUGUUCCGGUGUGAGUUCGGGUCUGCCCCGGAUCACUCUGACUGGUGGAACUGGAUCAGCCCCCUCCACCUCCACCCCCAGAGCUAGGGAGACGACAGUUUCAGUUCGGUCCACGUGCCUUACUUUGAAAAAUAACCCGGAAGUGAAACGCUCUCUUUUAUUUUGGAAAAAGGUUCUGCAGGAAGUGGACCGAGCCUGACCUGAGCAGAACUGAAUUCUGGAUUUUUCAGUUAGGAACUUAAGGACGUCCUCAGGUAGGUAAACAAGAACUGCAGACAGAAAACGAACAUCUCAGCUGUUAAAAAGUUAACAUGUUUGAGAGGAUAAACAGAAACUUCAGGUAAACAAACAAACACAACCAGGCAGGUAAACACCACAUGCAAACAAAGAAACCAAACUACACAAAUGUAAACAAUAACACAACACACAAACAAAAACCACAACUGUAAACGGUAAACAACAAGGAACAGCACUUAUGUCAGUUCAGCCUCUAAAGGGGCGGAGCCAAGCAUAGGAGCUUUGGUCCACAGAACCAGUUGAACCCAAACCACUUCCUGGUUUUCCUGCCAGAAGACUUUGGCAGCAGAAGCCGCUUUUCCGUCUGAGAUGACGGAGGUGGAUGUGACCGGGAACCUGGGGGGUAUUCCAGAAGGCCCUUUUAAAUCCCCUGACUUUAACCCUGAACUCUGGCUGAAAUCCUCCUGAACUUGCUUACUCUGGGUAUGUCGGUUCCAACAGUCCGGAUAUGAGUUAGUGUAAUUACGCUCCACUUGGUAACCCUGGGUUAAUGCACGUGCACAGCAGGUACAUACAGACAUUCUCAAUGGAUCACAGAUUUACGGAGUCACCAUGGUAACACGUAGAGAAAAAAAGAGAGAGCUAUACUUCAGUGAGACGGAGUCUGAGGUUUAAAUGACGGCGUAUGAAGAUUAUAUGUCUAUCAAUAAAGUAACACGGCUGCAUCAUCAGCAAAAGAACGAGUUUCUGCUUGGAGAAAAAGAACAAAGUAAACGCACAAGUUUCUGAUCUUAUUUCCAUUUACAUUAUGAUGUGUAUAUAUAUAACAUAUCCAACUUAAAUGAAUUAAUUCAAUUGGUAACAAGGAACUGAGUUAAAUUUAUUCAACCAAUUUUUUUACAUCUAUACAACUCAAAUGUACAUAUUUAUUUAACUAAAUGUCAUUUUACUCCAAUUCAAUUAAAUGUUUUUCCAUCUUAAUUUAUUGUACUUGUUGAACUCUGAUAUGUCUAAUUUUAAGGCUGCAGAUUUUUCUCAUUUUUAUAACGUGAAAAUGAGUGAUACAGUGUGGAUUUACAACAUGAAGCAUAGAUUCAUUGCAAUCAGUUUGACUGUAACUUCAGGUAUUUUAAAACUCUUCAGCACUAGUGCUCCUAAAUAACCUCGUCCUCCUCAUCCUCCUCUUCCUCCCUCUCACUCAUGGUGCAGAAAGAAUUAAACAACAGGACAACUAACUAGACAAAACACAGUAAAACAGAUAAACACAUUCUAUCAAAAACCCACACUUAAACCCAAAUCCGUCCAGACAGGCAAAGGGAAUGAUAUCCCACAAUCCCUUGCGGUGCCGCUCUAACAGCAGCAUCAAAGUUACACCUUCUUAACUGAAUUAAUUUGAAUGAAAGUAAAAUAACUGUCUGAUAACUACGUGUUAUUUUUAAACUGACUUAACAAAAAUGAUUUAUCUUAACUGAAUCAAAUAAUGAAGUUAGAUCAAAGUAUAAAGUUUAUCUUUCCAACAUCCAUAUAUGUGGUCUUAUCACCCUCUCAUGGUGGAAAAAGUAUUAUCUGAGCUUCUUCAUCCACUAAAUCAUCUUCAAAUGGACACGCCAUGCUGCUUCACCUCUCUGUAAACAAACUAACCUUCAACUAAACCUGCUCCAGACCAGGUUAUGUUCAGAGCAUGAGUUGCUAUGGUAACUUGACCUACCCUGAAACAUACCUCCAUUUCUGGAACCCAAAGCUGAGGUUAUCAACUUCCUUAGCCUGAAACUUAUCGUGGGAGCUAGCAUAACCUGCUUCCUGGAAUACCCCCCUGAAGUGUGAUGGAAGAAUCAGACUUUCAGAGGCUGCUCCUGAACCAUGACAUCACAUCUACCAUUUCAAACCGCAGACCCAAACGGGUCAAGAAAAGGUUUUAAUGCCAGUGUGGGUUAAAGUCUUAGAGACUGAGUCAAGUAGGACAACCCAAACAAAAGCACACAGGAUUAAGCCUGUUCCUUAUUUGGAGAUGUCCAAGAGUUCAGUGUACCAGCAGCUGCACAGGGAGCCUGGAACCAGAAGACAACACAUUCCAGCUCCAACCCGAGGAUAAUCCAGUAUAUCAUGAUAAUCCAGGUUCCUCUUACGCUGAAACUUCUCAGAAACAAAGACAGACAUCCGUCCUGAAACGACGAGGAGUCCAAUCAGGAGGCAGACAGGUCCAACAUCCGUGAUCCAAAGGCCAGAAAGGCAGAAAAGGCAGAUCAAGGGGACAGGAAAAGGGUCAAAACAGCAGGAGCGAUGAAACUGUGACCCGCUGGACCACAGGACCACCAACCAGCAGAGGAACUGUCCCUGGAUCUGAGGCUCACAGGUGGAUGAAUGACCUCCUUCAGGUGGAGACUUGGAGAAUGGAGAGCAGGCCAAGCAAAUCGUCACACACUGAUUCCUAUUUUUUCAUUUUCUGUUGGUUUAGACGUGCGUGACCUUUGUGUGACCUUUGACAAGCAUUGGAUGGAUCACAGCAGUGUUUGACGGGUCCUGCAGGCCACUGCGGGUCCCUGAGCACAGCAGGACCCCAGUGAUGCUGGGGGCAGCUCAGGUCAGUAAGUCUGUGUCCUGGGCCAGGGGGCUUGUCUUUGUCUGUAACGCUGGUCCUGGUUGACCUCCACAGAAAUGUCCUACUGGUCGGUCGGAGUUCUCCAGAAUCCGGGAGUGAUGGACAUGGAGGACAGUGAUGGUGAGAGAUCUUCCUGCAUCUUCAGGCUUGUGUCCAUCCUGUUAGAACAGAGGCGGGUUGGUGGCGCAGCUAUGUUUGGAAAACAGAAGUGAGAGGAAGGUUUGUGCCCCCCAGUGCUUUUAGUUUCCAUGAAGCUCCUGUCAGGCAGAACCACGACAGUCGUGACUUCUGCUUUCACUCCUGAUGCAAACCCAGAUGUGUGCAGUUCUUCUUUGGACCACUGGGGGCAAAGUGUCCACUAAAAGUAAAGAAGUGAUGAAAAUGUAAAUUUAAGGGGGGGUCAGAGUCUGCUCAUGUAGAAGGACCCUCAAAGGUCUUCAGCAGCACAACUGAAGUUUGGAGAUGGAACCAGCACCUUGAACUGAUGCUUCCAUAGGGCUUCCACAGCCGAAGGCUCUGCCCCCCCCC
Molecule: long non-coding RNA, 3540 nt
Filed under: Oryzias sinensis (Chinese medaka)
Lineage: Eukaryota; Metazoa; Chordata; Actinopteri; Beloniformes; Adrianichthyidae
Description: lncRNA (ENSOSIG00000004084.1)
Source: RNAcentral